Long non-coding RNA from Brienomyrus brachyistius, 5383 nucleotides. RefSeq lists it as uncharacterized. The transcript is spliced from 6 exons. The record is from RefSeq and is a predicted model, not a curated record. NCBI's taxonomy places the organism in Eukaryota, Metazoa, Chordata, Actinopteri, Osteoglossiformes, Mormyridae.
GAGCUGAACAUCAAAAUGAACAGUAAAAUGGAUGGAAUUAACUACUGUAUAGUUUAUGUUAAAUAAUCAUUUCAGAUGUGAUACAAUUCCGUAUCAGCUAUUAAGACUGAAUGCACAACAUGACAAAAGCAUCGUUUUUUCGAAUUCUUUUAUCUCUCAUCAAAAUAUAUCGUCAUAUAGCAAUCGAUUGCAAGUUACUUCAUAACUGUGAAAGGGGGUAUUUAUUGACUUCUGUUAUCUUUUAACCCAUGAGAAUAAUUGCUUACGCGCGGAAUGCAGUUUUCCACUCAAAAUGUGGCGGCAAUGAACAACCUGGAGAUUACGGUGUCCCCCCCGCCUUUUACACAGUGAGCUAAUGUGCCCCAUCUGGACAUGCUGAAGAAUACCAUAACCACCAAGGAGUGGCUGCACUGCUUCUGUGCAAACUGAAUCAUCACCGUACUGCGAUCUGGCAACCCGGAGUGCCCAUCCUGCAAUAAGAAGCUGGUUUCAGCGCACGCUCUAUGGCAGGACCCCGACUUUGCUGCGCGCUGAGCGAGGAGGGAAUCAGGAGAGGCACCUGGCUCACGUCAGCAAGCACAGCAACCAGCUGCUCAGCUUCAGAUGUGGAGAGGAAAACAGAUUUGGUGGGGGCUGCGGGGGUCACGACUCAGAUUCGGUAUUAAACACAGAUGGCCGCCAUGAGGGUAGGAGCAGCAGGUGGAAGAUGGCAGUUGGUCUCUCUCCCAAGAUGGCCGCCAUGUGGGUAGGAGCAGCAGGUGGAAGAUGGCAGUUGGUCUCUCUCCCAAGAUGGCCGCCAUGUGGGUAGGAGCAGCAGGUGGAAGAUGGCAGUUGGUCUCUCUCCCAAGAUGGCCGCCAUGUGGGUAGGAGCAGCAGGUGGAAGAUGGCAGUUGGUCUCUCUCCCAAGAUGGCCGCCAUGAGGGUCGCAGCACCGACGAAGCCAGGCUGAGUAGCAAACGUGCCAAGACUUUGGAUGACCCGGGCUUGGAUGUGGACGCUGCUUUGAGGAUUGGAGCCGGCGAAAUAGAGGUUGGUCUCCGAACUCAUCCAUCACUGAUCGAAAAGGAUCGAGUGGCACAGACAAGGUGGGUAACUACCGCCUGGCUGAUGUUGCCUUUCCCACCAAAUUAAUUUUAGUAGUUAGUAACGAAGUAGGGUUGUCUUUGCGUCUUUGGUGUAAAUACGCAUAGUGAUGUGGUCCUUUGACUGUUUCAUUAUUCACUUCCGCGCCAAGAGAAUGGCACAAAACUGGCGCCAACCAAAGCUGAUGAACGAUCAGCUCCUGCCUCUUGCGAAAAUUUACACUGGAACAUGUCGAUACGACUAGAGAUGAUGGUUGACAUGUAUCCCGAUCAGAGAGCUCAGUUUCACCAGCUAGCUUUGACACCGAUUCAACAUGCUCAUUCAGCCAAAACGGCGCCAACGGGUACCAACCGAGCCCAACUGUGCCACACACACGGGCCCUACGGGCAGUUCCCGACUCUCUCUGACGGCCUGAUGGCUUCCGAUGGCUGAAAAAGUGGCCUGCUGUGUUCCAGGCUUUAGUUACUUAUUAGUUGCGUAUUUCUUAGAAAUAGGAAUCUUACAACUUUUACAGCACUCUCACGAGUACCAGGUUCUGACCACCAGGUGGCAGAAUUCAGCUUUAAAAGUAUUGCACAGUUCCGCCCGUCCGUGAGCGCCUGGCGAAUCGGCGCCACCUUUAUGUAAAUCGCCGGCCCAUGAUCUCCGUCUUCACUGGGGGACGAUUCUGACUAAAAAAACAUGUGCAGGUGAUUUGGAUAGGAAAAUGAGUCCCUCUGUGGAGCUUGUGCAGUGAUAUCACCUGGGAUGUUUAUUCGUCCCUGUGGCCAGUGCUGUGCUUAAUUACUGAACCGUUUAACGGGUUCCUGCAUCAUGUAUAACUGGUCGCCCAGUCACUGGGACGCUUCAGUUGCCAUUAUCUUUGCAUAUCUAGUCAUUCUGCUCUGCUUAAUAGCAUUGUUAGUUCAGAGGUAGACUGUGAGUAAAUUAAUUUUGCUGGGGUGGGUGAAGUUUACAAAAUAUGUCCCCCCUCAUCCCCCCCCCCCCAGAAGAUACUGAACAGAGUAGGAGUAAAAGUGCACUGGCUUCUGCCAACUGCGCUUGCCAGUUAGGCACUGGAUGGUAACGGCGGGUUGUUAAUCGUCAGAAAGACAGAUGGUGCUGUACUUGCACUCCGGUUGUAUCCCAGUGACAGGACUGUUCAGGCUUUUUUUUGUUGAGUAAGGAAAUUGGACCAUGAUAGGAACUUAGCGGUUGUUAAGAAAUGUCACUUGGAGCGGACCGGGGCUCUGUAUUUCAGGGACGGUGGGCGGUGCUGAUGCUGGUGUGAGUCCUGUAGCGAAUUAGCCGGCCUUGUGCUGCCCUAAGCGCUCCCAUGGAGACGCCUGACAGGACGGCGUUUGCGAGUCACUGGGACCCUCAGCUUUUCAUCCUUUCCUAAGCUGCCAGGCCUCUUUGAUGCAGGAAAUUUCCCAUGAAAGCUUCCUGUUCUGACCAGCUGUGGCUGGAAGGAGAGACCUUCGUCCCCUUUGCUGCUUUCGUUCUGAAAGCUUCCCUCACGCCCGAGUACCCCUCGACGGGAAGGGACUGCUGCCACACUGGCCUCUGACGUCACACCUGCGUCAACGGCCGAGCGCCACUGAAAACCUUCUCGUUGAAAAUAGCCAGAGAACCAUUGAACUGAGUCACGGUUAACGUGGCCAGCGAGCUAAAUGAGCCCAAAUUAGCUGUAAGCUUUUGUAAUCAUGUGAUGCGUAUUGCAUUAUUCAGUUGUAAUUCAAACAACUCCACAUUUUCAGUUUUACUAUGACUGACGUUUUAAUUAAAUACUUGGCAGAUGAGUAUUUAGCCUCUUAUUGGUAAUUGUUUGCUUUGCGUGAUAUUUAUCGAGAUUUUCGCAACGACGACGCAGCAGAUCUCGGCUUGCGACGGAGCAGAGCAAUCAGCAGUCCUUGUGUCGCGCCAGACAAACAGUCGGCAUCGCCGUGUGGUCCAGCAGCCGUGGGUCACCUCGGCGGCCCCACAGAGCCCCUGCCCAGGCUGUUCCCUAGGCAACAGUGAGCGCACGGCAACAACGUCAGCCACCGCUUUGACGGAAGCAGCCCUUCUUCCUACGUGCCUGUCGCCUCUCUCUUGCAGGAAAUGGGGCGUCUUUCUCUUGAAGGACGUCUUCAAGCCUUUAAGCUACGACCACCUUUGCGCUGUGGAUAAAUGCAGAAAACACAGCACUCACCGCGUAUCCGCGGGUGAUAUGUUCCAAGAACUACCACGAAUGGCCGAAAUUGUGGAUAAUAGCGAUUGAUUGAUAGAUUAUGUACACUUAGACAUUACCAACAUUAAACACAGUAAUAAUAAAGUAUAUUAUAUCGUACUCUCUCAAAUGAAAGGGAUUCUGACAUUUUAGCUUUAUUCUCAAAAGAUAAUAGAGUAAUGGAAAAAUGCUUAUCAAUGGGUGAAGAAUUGAAAAUCAUGCUUUUUACAUCCCUCAAAGGAUGAUGGGACAAUAAAAAAUGUUUAUACGUUUUUAUAAUGAAAAAUAUUGAAUCAUGUGCUUGUACAUAAUCUGUAAUGGCGAACUGGCAUAUGUAACCAUGUAGCAGUCUGUAUUCGCUUGGCUCGAAAACUUGGAUUGAACCACAGAUAAUUUGAUCAUACAACUGCACCCCCUAUUGGUCAGAUGAUUUUUUUUUAACAAGUUAUGUUGUAUAUCUAUCUAUCUAUCUAUCUAUCUCUGUCUGUCUGUCUGUCUGUCUGUCUGUCUGUCUAGACUGGUUGCCUUUGGGUCCAUAUUGAAAAGUCUGCUCUGUUAGGGUGUCUUGGAUGUUUUCCGCUAGUAGGGAAAAUUGGUCUUAUCAGAUGGCUGACAUCCUGCGAGAAUAAGUGUGGUGUUUUCGCGAGCACAUGCUACAUAAAUCUUCUCUGUAAAGUGCCGGGAAACAGCUGUUCGGUACCUCACUGAUUUCUUAAAGCGUAAACAAGUUUUUACUGCUGCCCUGCUUCAGCAGCCAACAGAUCGGGUAACACUGAAAAACACUGUUCGGUGGCAAUGCAAGGGUUGCCAGAUCAUCAUCGGGGAAGUGAGUUUCUUGCUGAAAACGGAAUGUUCGUUUCCAAGUAGUCACCGGAGAGCUCCCGUGGAAUUCUGGGAAAGCAAGACGGGUGGCACUUUCGACGUCUGAAGGGCGGCAUGCCGUGCGGGCGGCUCUCUGAAGAGCUAGGUAGGUUCUGACAGGCUGUGAGGUCGCCUGGGCCAGCUGCCGUUGUUCCCGGAGCUGUGGGCUUCUGGUAUAAUGUAUAAUUCUGCCAGUUCUGACUGUCACAUGGUGCUCCGCUGGUUGGGAAAGUCUUCCAGACUAGCUUCUGAAGUGGGUGUGAUGCUCCGUAUGCCACAACAAUACUGAGGGCUGCGCCUCUGACCAGCCUCCUCCGAAAAAGUGUUAUAUUCCUCUAUUGUUCUAAGACUCAUCCCUUUCAGCCUUGAUUCUAAGAGCCUAAGAAUUCUUAUUUGGGUGGGCAUGUGGAACAUGCAUGUAAGCCAAAGUGAUCCUUUCUGUAAUUGCAGGCCGUCUGUCAAGUGUAUCUAAAAUCGAGCUCAAAACGUUUCUUUGUAACUUAGCAUUAGAGAGAGGCUGUGUGCAUACAUUGUUUUUGCGUAUUUGCGCUAUGCCGCACUUAAUCUUUUGUGUGCUAAAAGGGGUUUAAUUGCGCCUUGAUAAAAUGCACUUCAGUCUGCUGUUACAUUGUCCAAGCAGCAAUAUUUCCCUCCUUUAAUUCUGACCUCCAGGAUCCAGAUACACGUUUAUGUUUAAUCAGUAAAGCAUUUGAUUUUUUUUUGCAGGCCAGAGAUAACCAUUACUUUGAAAACUUUACCUUGUGAGAAAGGUCAGUAACACUUUCCAAGGUAAGACUUCUGUUUCUUCUUGUUUUUUGAAAGACUGAACUGUGCUGUGAAUUGCAUGCCCUGUUGCGCUCAUCGAACCACUAUUGUUACACCUCCAUAAAAUUCAGUCAGGUCAGCACAGUGUUUCAUGAAUGUUCUGGAGACCUUGGACUAAUAUUGUGGGCCUUGGUGUGUGUCACAUGUUGUGGUUCUGCACCUUGAACUUAGAAGACCCGUCUUGAGCGAAAAUCUUUUCCAUCAACUUCCCAGGUACCUCAGGUACGUUUUCUGGAGUUGCGGGUCGUGGGCGAGGUGGGUGUUUUCGGUGGGUUUACAACCCGGUGGACCUGUGAUAGACUUCAACUUGUAACCAGUGAGGUGCAGAGUAGCAGUUCCGCCCCUCUUCCGAUUCGCUCACAACUAGCGAGCUUGUAGCCAAUGCCGUGAAUGUUGGCUGUAGGGGUUGUUUCUGGAAAUGUU